AUUUGCUAACUUUAAAAAAUCUUCUCCUCUGAAACUACUGAAUGGAUUUGGAUGAAACUUAGCAUGAUAGUUCCUUAGAUUAUCCUGCACAAAGUGUGUGCUCCGAUUUUUGAUCCGUCAAAAAACAUGGCCGCCCUUACUUUAAAUAGAACAUAGGGGUCAAAUGCAGUUUUUGGCUUAUAUCUCAAAAACGAAAGCAUUUAGAGCAAAUCUGACAUGGGGGUAAAAAUGUUCAUUAGGUCAAGAUCUAUCAGCCCUGAAAUUUUCAGACGAAUCAAACAAACCAUUGUUGGGUUGCUGCCACUUAAUUGGUAAUUUUAAGGAAAUUUUGCAGUUUUUGGUCAUUAUCUUGAAUAUCAUUAUAGAUAAAGAUAAACUGUAAACAGCAAAAAUGAUCAGCAAAGUAUAUAUAUUUGUAAUAUUGAAGAAUUGUUAGCUGUACAUGUUUGCCUGGCAUGGUUCAAUAUGUUCAAUAAGGCAUUGUUUACCAGAUGAGCGAUUCAGGCUCUUGAGAGCCUCUUGUUU
Molecule: long non-coding RNA, 525 nt
Filed under: Mytilus galloprovincialis (Mediterranean mussel)
Lineage: Eukaryota; Metazoa; Mollusca; Bivalvia; Mytilida; Mytilidae
Source: RNAcentral